GGAUGAAUAUACAGAAACCUGAUUACAAAAAUAAACAUGUACUGUAUGCACUGUACACUGUACUGCAGUAUGCUCUGAGCCAGAUUUAGGUCUCAGUUGACAAAAGUCUGCUGCUUGGUAAAUCAGAAUUAAUAUUUAGAGGUUAGAGUGGGCGUUCCUCUCUUCCCCUCCUCCCCUUCAUACUUCGACUCUCUGCAUACUGAGAGCCUGGAGUAUAGAAGUAAGCUAGAGAUGACGACCUCGCCAACCCCCCUGGAAAGGUCGAGUACUCGUUUAUUUGUCAUUUUAUAUUGAAAUAAACGAUUGUACAAAUUUA
Eurytemora carolleeae is the source of this 316-nucleotide long non-coding RNA. RefSeq lists it as uncharacterized. Lineage: Eukaryota; Metazoa; Arthropoda; Copepoda; Calanoida; Temoridae. The record is from RefSeq and is a predicted model, not a curated record. The transcript is spliced from 2 exons.